This 301-nucleotide ribosomal RNA is filed under the name uncultured bacterium. Its description in RNAcentral is "partial 16S ribosomal RNA". It matches the Rfam family "Bacterial small subunit ribosomal RNA", at positions 509 to 809 of the family's 1533-position model. The record is from RNAcentral.
CAGUAGCCACGGUAAUACGAAGGGUGCAAGCGUUACUCGGAAUUACUGGGCGUAAAGCGUGCGUAGGUGGUGGUUUAAGUCCGUUGUGAAAGCCCUGGGCUCAACCUGGGAAUUGCAGUGGAUACUGGGUCACUAGAGUGUGGUAGAGGAUAGUGGAAUUUCCGGUGUAGCAGUGAAAUGCGUAGAGAUCGGAAGGAACAUCUGUGGCGAAGGCGACCAUCUGGGCCAACACUGACACUGAGGCACGAAAGCGUGGGGAGCAAACAGGAUUAGAUACCCCGGUAGUCCCUGUCUCUUAUCA